Molecule: long non-coding RNA, 1469 nt
Organism: Pteropus alecto (black flying fox)
Lineage: Eukaryota; Metazoa; Chordata; Mammalia; Chiroptera; Pteropodidae
Exons: 4
Source: RefSeq, a predicted model, not a curated record
CCUGUCCGGCUGGACAGGAACAGGGACCGAGUGGGUGGAAAAACCCUCAGACCAGGAGAGCUGCUCGGAGGCGACGUGGGAAGACCCCCAGUCCAAAGGCAGCUCUCAGCCACUUGCCCCCGGCGGUGCCUGCCGGGUCUGGAUUAUAGUUUUAGGAGGGAGUUCUUGGCUGUUUCAUCCAGUUCUGUCGAGGCCUCGAGUACCAGGCUGGCUCUGCGGGGUCGUGUGGGUCAUCAUAGUGUAUCGCGCCAUUCCGCUGUAUGAUUUCUGUUCCGUUACGUGUUCCAGUCUGUUCUAGGGCCUUCCGUCCCUCUCUAUGCUAUUGUGUUUAUUUAUUCACGUGACAGAUAUUUUUUUAAGCACCUACUAUGUGCCAGGAAGUGUUUUAGGUGCUGGAGUUACGACGCGGAGUAAAGCAAGAUCUCCGCCCUAGGAGGGCGCUGGGAGACUAGCAAGAAACAGAAGCCCAACGCCAGCAUUUACUGAGUUGGAACAGUGAGGAGCGAGACAGACAUGGUCCUUGCCCAAGAGAAGUGCCGAAGCCCAAUGGGGGACCCCAGGAAGCCUGGGAGAAGGAGCUGGGAAUGCUGGCUGCCUCUGGGGAGGGAGAUGACACCCCCUCAAACACAGUUUGCUUCCCCCACCAGCUCCGAAAAACCAGGGUCCAGCCUGGAUUGUUCUCUGCUGUCACCCCAGCUCCCAGCCCAAGGCCUGGAGACUCACAGGAUGGGUUUGCAGAAUGAAUGAAGGAUCUGUAUGGGCACUGGAUGAAGCGUCAGCAACAACUCCAGCUCAGAGGACGGGUAGGGCAGUGGCCCUCGGCCCUUGGACUGCUCAUGCCUGUGACAGGCCAGGCCCUUCUCGGAAUGGACACCCACCUCCUCCCCACCCCAUGGGGCAUGACAUCUCACAAGGUGUUCACAGCAUGGUUGGCACCAGCCCCAAAUGGAAACAACCCAAAGGUGCAUCUCCAAGGCCUCGUCGGAUCCGCCAGGAUCUGCCCAGACAGCAGAGUGUUCUGGGGCCCGGGAGAGGCAGGAGAUGCAGGGGUUCAGAGCACAGACCUGGGAGCCUGGCAACCUAGGCCUGAAUCCUCUGCCAGUCGCUGUCGUGUGGCAGGCGCUUCACCGCUCCGUGCCUCAGUUUCCCCACCCACAGAAUGGAGAUGAUGAGAAUAACGGCACUCGCUCAUAGGAUCACGUCGCCCCAUGAUCCACGUAGAGCAUGUGGGACUCUGGCCGGCACAUACUAGAGGAACCUUUGCUGCUAUUACUAUUACUAACAUGAUUAUUAGCAGUAGUGGUAGAAAUACGCGCUCAUCCAGGGGAGGGAGAAGGAAGGGGCAGGACAAACUGUAAAGCGGCUGCCACUCUGCACACUAUACACCCUUGUGCUAUUUGAGUUGUGUGUUGGGGGUGUUUCCCUAUGCACUUGUAGGUAUAUUCAAAACCAAACACACCAGAAAGCAA